Molecule: ribosomal RNA, 439 nt
Filed under: uncultured bacterium
Lineage: Bacteria
Description: partial 16S ribosomal RNA
Rfam family: Bacterial small subunit ribosomal RNA
Source: RNAcentral
CUACGGGGGGCUCCAGUGAGGAAUAUUGCACAAUGGGGGGAACCCUGAUGCAGCAACGCCGCGUGGAGGAUGACGCAUUUCGGUGUGUAAACUCCUUUUAUAUGUCAAGAAAAUGACGGUAGCAUAUGAAUAAGCACCGGCUAACUCCGUGCCAGCAGCCGCGGUAAUACGGAGGGUGCAAGCGUUACUCGGAAUCACUGGGCGUAAAGGACGCGUAGGCGGGUUGGAAAGUCAGGUGUGAAAUCCUACAGCUUAACUGUAGAACUGCACUUGAAACUUCUAAUCUAGAGUAUGGGAGGGGGAGAUGGAAUUAGUGGUGUAGGGGUAAAAUCCGUAGAUAUCACUAGGAAUACCUAAAGCGAAGGCGAUCUCCUGGAACAUUACUGACGCUAAGGCGUGAAAGCGUGGGGAGCAAACAGGAUUAGAUACCCCAGUAGUC